Molecule: unclassified non-coding RNA, 400 nt
Filed under: uncultured fungus
Lineage: Eukaryota; Fungi
Description: sequence contains ITS1
Rfam family: 5.8S ribosomal RNA (bases 1-106)
Source: RNAcentral
GAAAUGCGAUAAGUAAUGUGAAUUGCAGAAUUAGAGUGAAUCAUCGAAUCUUUGAACGCACAUUGCGCUCUUUGGUAUUCCGAAGAGCACGCCUGUUUGAGUAUCGAAAAAACCAUCACGACUUGGUCUUGGAGUUCGCUCCGAUCGACUUUGAGACGUGGAUUUGGAUUGUCCUGACGGAUUCGUUCGUUUCAGGCAGUCUCAAAAAAGAGCGUUGGAAGCUGGAUCUCCUCUUCUGGGAUCGCUGCCCGAAAUGUUAUGAAUUGAGGUCUCCUCUCGAGGGGAUAUCUUCAUUUUUCUUUCUUGCAGUUCGAGCCUGGUGGAGAACCGGUCGACCGAUAAACCCACUAACCACACGAGGGGUCGUUUGCGCGAUUCGUCGAAAACUUGGUCUCAAAUC